RNAcentral lists this ribosomal RNA (851 nucleotides) under uncultured bacterium. RNAcentral's name for it is "bacterial SSU rRNA". It matches the Rfam family "Bacterial small subunit ribosomal RNA", at positions 642 to 1504 of the family's 1533-position model. The record is from RNAcentral.
UAGAGUAUGAUAGAGGAAAGCAGAAUUUCUAGUGUAGAGGUGAAAUUCGUAGAUAUUAGAAAGAAUACCAAUUGCGAAGGCAGCUUUCUGGAUCAUUACUGACACUGAGGAACGAAAGCAUGGGUAGCGAAGAGGAUUAGAUACCCUCGUAGUCCAUGCCGUAAACGAUGUGUGUUAGACGUUGGAAAUUUAUUUUCAGUGUCGCAGGGAAACCGAUAAACACACCGCCUGGGGAGUACGACCGCAAGGUUAAAACUCAAAUGAAUUGACGGGGACCCGCACAAGUAGUGGAGCAUGUGGUUUAAUUCGAAGAUACGCGCAGAACCUUACCAACACUUGACAUGUUCGUCGCGACUCUAAGAGAUUAGAGUUUUCGGUUCGGCCGGACGAAACACAGGUGCUGCAUGGCUGUCGUCAGCUCGUGUCGUGAGAUGUUGGGUUAAGUCCCGCAACGAGCGCAACCCUCACUUUUAGUUGCCAUCAUUAAGUUGGGCACUCUGAAAGAACUGCCAGUGAUAAGCUGGAGGAAGGUGGGGAUGACGUCAAGUCCUCAUGGCCCUUACGUGUUGGGCUACACACGUGCUACAAUGGCAUCUACAACAGGAAGCAAAACGGCAACGUUAAGCAAAUCCCGAAAAGAUGCCUCAGUUCGGAUUGCACUCUGCAACUCGAGUGCAUGAAGCUGGAAUUACUAGUAAUCGUGGAUCAGCGUGCCACGGUGAAUGCGUUCCCGGGUCUUGUACACACCGCCCGUCACACCAUGGGAGUUGGUUCUACCUUAAGGCAAGGUUUCAAACCCUUGACCACGGUAUAGUCAGCGACUGGGGUGAAGUCGUAACAAGGUAACCGUA